UGGGGAAUAUUGCACAAUGGGCGCAAGCCUGAUGCAGCCAUGCCGCGUGUAUGAAGAAGGCCUUCGGGUUGUAAAGUACUUUCAGCGGGGAGGAAGGCGAUAAGGUUAAUAACCUUGUCGAUUGACGUUACCCGCAGAAGAAGCACCGGCUAACUCUGUGCCAGCAGCCGCGGUAAUACGGAGGGUGCAAGCGUUAAUCGGAAUUACUGGGCGUAAAGCGCACGCAGGCGGUCUGUCAAGUCGGAUGUGAAAUCCCCGGGCUCAACCUGGGAACUGCAUUCGAAACUGGCAGGCUAGAGUCUUGUAGAGGGGGGUAGAAUUCCAGGUGUAGCGGUGAAAUGCGUAGAGAUCUGGAGGAAUACCGGUGGCGAAGGCGGCCCCCUGGACAAAGACUGACGCUCAGGUGCGAAAGCGUGGGGAGCAAACA
This 427-nucleotide ribosomal RNA is filed under the name uncultured bacterium. Its description in RNAcentral is "partial 16S ribosomal RNA". It matches the Rfam family "Bacterial small subunit ribosomal RNA", at positions 355 to 774 of the family's 1533-position model. The record is from RNAcentral.